CCUACGGGGGGCUGCAGUGGGGAAUAUUGGACAAUGGGGGCAACCCUGAUCCAGCCAUGCCGCGUGUGUGAAGAAGGCCCUCGGGUUGUAAAGCACUUUCAGUGAGGAAGAACGCCUGGUGGUUAAUACCCAUCAGGAAAGACAUCACUCACAGAAGAAGCACCGGCUAACUCCGUGCCAGCAGCCGCGGUAAUACGGAGGGUGCGAGCGUUAAUCGGAAUUACUGGGCGUAAAGCGCGCGUAGGUGGCUUGAUAAGCCGGUUGUGAAAGCCCCGGGCUCAACCUGGGAACGGCAUCCGGAACUGCCAAGCUAGAGUGCAGGAGAGGAAGGUAGAAUUCCCGGUGUAGCGGUGAAAUGCGUAGAGAUCGGGAGGAAUACCAGUGGCGAAGGCGGCCUUCUGGACUGACACUGACACUGAGGUGCGAAAGCGUGGGUAGCAAACAGGAUUAGAUACCCGAGUAGUC
Molecule: ribosomal RNA, 465 nt
Filed under: Vreelandella stevensii
Lineage: Bacteria; Pseudomonadati; Pseudomonadota; Gammaproteobacteria; Oceanospirillales; Halomonadaceae
Description: partial 16S ribosomal RNA
Rfam family: Bacterial small subunit ribosomal RNA
Source: RNAcentral